Molecule: ribosomal RNA, 468 nt
Filed under: uncultured bacterium
Lineage: Bacteria
Description: partial 16S ribosomal RNA
Rfam family: Bacterial small subunit ribosomal RNA
Source: RNAcentral
GACGAACGCUGGCGGCGUGCUUAACACAUGCAAGUCGAACGGAAAGGCCCUGCUUUUGUGGGGUGCUCGAGUGGCGAACGGGUGAGUAACACGUGAGUAACCUGCCCUUGACUUUGGGAUAACUUCAGGAAACUGGGGCUAAUACCGGAUAGGAGCUCCUGCUGCAUGGUGGGGGUUGGAAAGUUUCGGCGGUUGGGGCUGGACUCGCGGCUUCUCAGCUUGUUGGUGGGGUAGUGGCUUACCAAGGCUUUGACGGGUAGCCGGCCUGAGAGGGUGGCCGGCCACAUUGGGACUGAGAGACGGCCCAGACUCCUACGGGAGGCAGCAGGGGGGAAUAUUGCACAAUGGGCGGAAGCCUGAUGCAGCAACGCCGCGUGCGGGAUGACGGCCUUCGGGUUGUAAACCGCUUUCGCCUGUGACGAAGCGUGAGUGACGGUAAUGGGUAAAGAAGCACCGGCUAACUACGUG